Molecule: long non-coding RNA, 443 nt
Organism: Amphimedon queenslandica
Lineage: Eukaryota; Metazoa; Porifera; Demospongiae; Haplosclerida; Niphatidae
Exons: 3
Source: RefSeq, a predicted model, not a curated record
GACAGCAGACAGGAUUGUAGUAAAAGCUCCUCUUUACACAAAAGACCAAAAGCAGCACAAAAAGACAUGUUUGCCAGUAAGAGGUUUCAGAUAGACUCUGAAGAUUCUUAUGACAGCGGCAGAAAUACUUCUGAUGAUGGACAGUUCUCUGGUAGUGGCAUUUUACAAAAUGAAAACAGAGGACAAAAGAGACACAGAGAAGAAGAUAGUUCUCCUGGAGAUUUUACUACAAUGAAAAAGUCAACAGCUCAAACCUCAGAAGUCAUCAGUUUAUUGUCUGAUGAUGAUGAUGUCAUAAUACUUGAUCCUCCUCCUCCUUCAGAUAAAGGAUAUGAUAAAAGAUCAACUGGAAAUAAACCACACAGAAGAAAAACUGGCUCCAACAAAUAAUGUACUGAAUGUUAACCCUCUUGUCACUUAUUUUACUUAUUUUUUAUACACAA